Molecule: ribosomal RNA, 468 nt
Filed under: uncultured bacterium
Lineage: Bacteria
Description: partial 16S ribosomal RNA
Rfam family: Bacterial small subunit ribosomal RNA
Source: RNAcentral
GACGAACGCUGGCGGCGUGCUUAACACAUGCAAGUCGAACGGAAAGGCCCUGCUUUUGUGGGGUGCUCGAGUGGCGAACGGGUGAGUAACACGUGAGUAACCUGCCCUUGACUUUGGGAUAACUUCAGGAAACUGGGGCUAAUACCGGAUAGGAGCUCCUGCUGCAUGGUGGGGGUUGGAAAGUUUCGGCGGUUGGGGAUGGACUCGCGGCUUAUCAGCUUGUUGGUGGGGUAGUGGCUUACCAAGGCUUUGACGGGUAGCCGGCCUGAGAGGGUGACCGGCCACAUUGGGACUGCGAUACGGCCCAGACUCCUACGGGAGGCAGAAGUGGGGAAUAUGGCACAAUGGGCGGAAGUCUGAUGCAGCAAUGCCGCGAGCGAAAUGACGGCCUUUGGGUUGUAAACCGCUUUCGCCGGUGACGAAGCGUGAGUGACGGUAAUGGGUAAAGAAGCACCGGCUAACUACGUG